GAAUGAAUGAACUUCUCGAUCUCGACAUGUAGAAGAAGAAAAUGGUAAAUGGUGGUAGAGUUAGGAGCUGGAUGUGUGUGAAUUUCUCUCGAAACGUGCAAGACAGUGUUGCUACCAAAUUCUGUCGCGAACUCGUUUUUAUGUGCCAAUCCUCAGGAUCCCUGACAUGCUUCUGAAGCCUGUUCUUCCAGCUAUAUACGUGCAUCCGGAUCAUGUGCAACGCAAGGAUCAGUUGACUAGGGCACUACCUGAGCGGCACCACCAAGAUGUCGGCGAGCACACGCCAUGACACCCUUUACGCCAAGAUGUCAUCGUUGUCAACACAUUUUAUUACUGCCAGAAGACGACGGACGUAGGAUGAAUAUCGACCACGUUGAGGUGCUCACAACCGUUUGGGCUUCUUACUACACAAUCCACAAGAUUAUGCAAGGGCUUCUUGAUCGGUAUACUGUGGCUGGAUACUCAAGGCCCUCAUGAUGUUUGUUGGGAUGGCUUAUUACUUCAGUGGUUGUGUGAAGAAUGUCAUACAGACAUACAACAUUGAGAGGCA
Molecule: long non-coding RNA, 550 nt
Organism: Lolium rigidum
Lineage: Eukaryota; Viridiplantae; Streptophyta; Magnoliopsida; Poales; Poaceae
Exons: 4
Source: RefSeq, a predicted model, not a curated record